This 253-nucleotide ribosomal RNA is filed under the name uncultured bacterium. RNAcentral describes it as "partial 16S ribosomal RNA". It matches the Rfam family "Bacterial small subunit ribosomal RNA", at positions 524 to 776 of the family's 1533-position model. The record is from RNAcentral. RNAcentral also lists the same sequence under 1 other name.
UACGAAGGGUGCAAGCGUUACUCGGAAUUACUGGGCGUAAAGGGUGCGUAGGUGGUUUGUUAAGUCUGCUGUGAAAUCCCCGGGCUCAACCUGGGAAUGGCAGUGGAUACUGGCAAGCUGGAGUGCGGUAGAGGGUAGUGGAAUUCCCGGUGUAGCAGUGAAAUGCGUAGAGAUCGGGAGGAACACCAGUGGCGAAGGCGGCUACCUGGACCAGCACUGACACUGAGGCACGAAAGCGUGGGGAGCAAACAGG